RNAcentral lists this ribosomal RNA (494 nucleotides) under uncultured bacterium. RNAcentral describes it as "bacterial SSU rRNA". It matches the Rfam family "Bacterial small subunit ribosomal RNA", at positions 28 to 513 of the family's 1533-position model. The record is from RNAcentral.
GAUGAACGCUAGCGGCAGGCUUAAUACAUGCAAGUCGAGGGGCAGCAUGACUGUAGCAAUACAGUUGAUGGCGACCGGCAAACGGGUGCGGAACACGUACAGAACCUUCCUUCGAGCGGGGAAUAGCCCAGAGAAAUUUGGAUUAAUACCCCAUAGUAUAUUAGAGUGGCAUCACUUUGAUAUUAAAGAUUUAUCACUUGAAGAUGGCUGUGCGGCUGAUUAGGUAGUUGGCGGGGUAACGGCCCACCAAGCCUUCGAUCAGUAACUGGUGUGAGAGCACGACCAGUCACACGGGCACUGAGACACGGGCCCGACUCCUACGGGAGGCAGCAGUAAGGAAUAUUGGUCAAUGGACGAAAGUCUGAACCAGCCAUGCCGCGUGGAGGAUGAAGGUCCUCUGGAUUGUAAACUUCUUUUCUUUGGGAAUAAAAACUCCGUUUCUACGGAGCUUGAAGGUACCGGAGGAAUAAGCACCGGCUAACUCCGUGCCAGCA